CCCAACACUGCCACAGUUCCACUAGAUCACAACCAAACCCCAACAGAGCUCAACACCAUCACAGUUCAGCUAGAUCACAACCAACCAAAUUCCAACAAAGGCCAACACUGCCACAGUUCCACUAGAUCACAACCAACCAAAUCCAACAGAGCCCAAAACCGCCACAGUUCUGCUAGAUCACAACCAAACCCCAACAGAGCCCAACACCACCACAGUUCCACUAGAUCACAGCCAAACCCCAACAGAGCCCAACACCACCACAGUUCUGCUAGAUCACAACCAAACCCCAAGAGAGCCCAACACCACCACAGUUCCGCUAGAUCACAACCAAACCCCAACAGAGCCCAACACCACCACAGUUCUGCUAGAUCAGAGGCAAAUCCCAACAGAGCCCAAAACCGCCACUGUUCUGCUAGAUCACAACCAAACCCACAGAGCCCAACACCGCCACAGUUCCACUAGAUCACAACCAAACCCCAACAGAGCCCAACACCACCACAGUUCCGCUAGAUCACAACCAACCAAAUCCCAACAAAGGCCAACACUACCACAGUUCCGCUAGAUCACAACCAACCAAAUCCAGAGCCCAACACUGCCACAGUUCCGCUAGAUCACAACCAACCAAAUCCAGAGCCCAACACUGCCACAGUUCCACUAGAUCACAGCCAAACCCCAACAGAGCCCAACACCGCCACUGUUCUGCUAGAUCACAGUCAACCAAACCCCAACAGAGCCCAACACCACCACAGUUCUGCUAGAUCACAACCAAACCCCAACAGAGCCCAACACCACCACAGUUCCGCUAGAUCACAACCAAACCCCAACAGAGCCCAACACCACCACAGUUCCACUAGAUCACAACCAACCAAAUCCCAACAAAGGCCAACACUACCACAGUUCUGCUAGAUCACAACCAACCAAAUCCAGAGCCCAACACUGCCACAGUUCCGCUAGAUCACAACCAACCAAAUCCAGAGCCCAACACUGCCACAGUUCCACUAGAUCACAGCCAAACCCCAACAGAGCCCAACACCGCCACUGUUCUGCUAGAUCACAGUCAACCAAACCCCAACAGAGCCCAACACCGCCACAGUUCUGCUAGAUCACAGUCAACCAAACCCCAACAGAGCCCAACACCGCCACAGUUCCGCUAGAUCACAACCAAACCCCAACAGAGCCCAACACCGCCACAGUUCCGCUAGAUCACAACCAAACCCCAACAGAGCCCAACACCGCCACAGUUCCGCUAGAUCACAACCAAACCCCAACAGAGCCCAACACAGCCACAGUUCCGCUAGAUCACAGUCAACCAAACCCCAACAGAGCCCAACACAGCCACAGUUCCGCUAGAUCACAGUCAACCAAACCCCAACAGAGCCCGACACCACAGUUCCACUCACAACCAAACCCCAACAGAGCCCAACACUGCCACAGUUCCACUAGAUCACAACCAAACUCCAGAGCCCAACACAGCCACAGUUCCACUAGAUCACAGUCAACCAAACCCCAACAGAGCCCAACACCGCCACAGUUCCGCUAGAUCACAGCCAAAUUCCAACAGAGCCCAACACAGCCACAGUUCCGCUAGAUCACAGUCAACCAAACCCCAACAGAGCCCAACACCGCCACAGUUCCACUAGAUCACAGCCAUAUUCCAACAGAGCCCAACACCGCCACAGUUCCACUAGAUCACAACCAAACUCCAGAGCCCAACACAGCCACAGUUCCACUAGAUCACAGUCAACCAAACCCCAACAGAGCCCAACACCACCACAGUUCCACUAGAUCACAGUCAACCAAACCCCAACAGAGCCCAACACCACAGUUCCGCUCACAACCAAACCCCAACAGAGCCCAACACCGCCACAGUUCUGCUGGAUCGCAACCAACCAAAUCCCAAUGAAGCCACGCGUGUGGACAAGAUAAACCCAUGACUGCUGAGAUCACAAGGUCCCUAUCUGAGUUUCUCUGCGACAAAUCUUCCCAAAGUUUAUUAAGAACACACAGCUUAAUGAAAUCAUUUGUUGAUCUCCC
RNAcentral lists this long non-coding RNA (2034 nucleotides) under Homo sapiens (human). Its description in RNAcentral is "non-protein coding lnc-ATP8B1-4:1". Lineage: Eukaryota; Metazoa; Chordata; Mammalia; Primates; Hominidae. The record is from RNAcentral.